AUAAAUAAGAAGGAUAAGGGCGGA
RNAcentral lists this transfer RNA (24 nucleotides) under Salacia beddomei. RNAcentral's name for it is "partial tRNA-His". Lineage: Eukaryota; Viridiplantae; Streptophyta; Magnoliopsida; Celastrales; Celastraceae. RNAcentral also lists the same sequence under 1 other name. The record is from RNAcentral.